This 143-nucleotide RNase P RNA is filed under the name Cronobacter sakazakii. RNAcentral's name for it is "partial RNase P RNA component class A". It matches the Rfam family "Bacterial RNase P class A", at positions 1 to 127 of the family's 367-position model. Rfam says of the family: Ribonuclease P (RNase P) is a ubiquitous endoribonuclease, found in archaea, bacteria and eukarya as well as chloroplasts and mitochondria. Lineage: Bacteria; Pseudomonadati; Pseudomonadota; Gammaproteobacteria; Enterobacterales; Enterobacteriaceae. The record is from RNAcentral.
GAAGCUGACCAGACAGUCGCCGCUUCGUCGUCGUCCUUUCGGGGAGACGGACGGAGGGGAGGAAAGUCCGGGCUCCAUAGGGCAGGGUGCCAGGUAACGCCUGGGGGGCGCAAGCCUACGACCAGUGCAACAGAGAGCAAACC